Molecule: ribosomal RNA, 440 nt
Filed under: uncultured bacterium
Lineage: Bacteria
Description: partial 16S ribosomal RNA
Rfam family: Bacterial small subunit ribosomal RNA
Source: RNAcentral
CCUACGGGUGGCUGCAGUGGGGGAUAUUGCACAAUGGGGGGAACCCUGAUGCAGCGACGCCGCGUGGGUGAAGAAGCGCCUCGGCGCGUAAAGCCCUGUCAGCAGGGAAGAAAAUGACGGUACCUGAAGAAGAAACCCCGGCUAACUACGUGCCAGCAGCCGCGGUAAUACGUAGGGGGCAAGCGGUAUCCGGAUUUACUGGGUGGAAAGGGGGCGCUGACGGCCAUGCAAGCCAGGAGUGAAAGCCCAGGGCCCAACCCCGGGACUGCUUUUGGAACUGCGUGGCUGGAGUGCAGGAGGGGUAGGUGGAAUUCCUGGUGUAGCGGUGAAAUGCGUAGAUAUUAGGAGGAACACCGGUGGCGAAGGCGGCCUGCUGGACUGCAACUGACGUUGAGGCCCGAAAGCGUGGGGAGCAAACAGGAUUAGAUACCCUUGUAGUC